UUAAUUUCUCAGAAAGUACCCUAUCUUCCGCCCAUUUCUCACCAAAUCCCAGGAAUUUUAUAAAGUUUCCCACAAAUCAAGAUCACAAAUUUUGCUUCUCACAUUCAGAGCUCAGAUUUUCUGUUGCUUUCCCAUGGGCCUGGUUUUUAUCAAUUCUUGAAAACCAUGUCAAAGUCCAAGAAUUUCUUUCAGAAUCUGAUCAAGCCUUUCAAGUUGAGUUCUAGCAGAAAGGGCAAGAGUGAAGAGGACUUGGACCAGAUUGCUGCUCAGGAACAGAAGCAGUUUGCAUUUGAUACCUUAGUCUCUGCCACCAAAGAUUUUCACCC
Molecule: unclassified non-coding RNA, 326 nt
Filed under: Hevea brasiliensis (rubber tree)
Lineage: Eukaryota; Viridiplantae; Streptophyta; Magnoliopsida; Malpighiales; Euphorbiaceae
Source: RNAcentral